UCCUGUCCGCCCCUGCUCAAAAUGAUGAUCUAUGGCUGUGGUGGAGGCUACACAUCAGCUUGCUCCAUCGCGGUGGUGACUGGUUUUCACUGACACAGACAGAAUUCGCCACGAGCUACAAGAGAGGACAUCUCAUUCUUUUAUCCACGGCGAGUCAUUGUGGUGGUGUCAGCUGGUGCCGUCUCUUUUAUCACACACUGGAAGCUAAUGGAAGCAAGGAGGAGGUCCCCUUGAGGCCCAUAUACAUAUAGAUCAUGUAUCCUGGGAUGAGGACCAUGGAGGACAACGCCAUGAGCCAGCCCACGCCCUGACCCCAGCCCGGAAACACGUAGUCUCCCAUCGUGAGAGGAACCAUUUGAACGGCACUGAACAAG
Molecule: long non-coding RNA, 374 nt
Organism: Periophthalmus magnuspinnatus
Lineage: Eukaryota; Metazoa; Chordata; Actinopteri; Gobiiformes; Gobiidae
Exons: 3
Source: RefSeq, a predicted model, not a curated record